Molecule: ribosomal RNA, 729 nt
Filed under: uncultured Bacillus sp.
Lineage: Bacteria; Bacillati; Bacillota; Bacilli; Caryophanales; Bacillaceae
Description: bacterial SSU rRNA
Rfam family: Bacterial small subunit ribosomal RNA
Source: RNAcentral
AACCGGAUUAGAUACCCGGUAGUCCACGCCCUAAACGAUGUCAACUAGGUGUUGGGGACCUUGAGUUCUCGGUACCGGAGCUAACGCAUUAAGUUGACCGCCUGGGGAGUACGGCCGCAAGGUUGAAACUCAAAGAAAUUGACGGGGACCCGCACAAGCGGUGGAGCAUGUGGUUUAAUUCGAAGCUACGCGAAGAACCUUACCAGGUCUUGACAUCUUGCGCUAACCUAAGAGAUUAGGCGUUCCCUUCGGGGACGCAAUGACAGGUGGUGCAUGGUCGUCGUCAGCUCGUGUCGUGAGAUGUUGGGUUAAGUCCCGCAACGAGCGCAACCCUUGUUACUAGUUGCCAGCAUUCAGUUGGGCACUCUAGUGAGACUGCCGGUGACAAACCGGAGGAAGGUGGGGACGACGUCAGAUCAUCAUGCCCCUUAUGACCUGGGCUACACACGUGCUACAAUGGCCGGUACAAAGAACAGCUAACCCGCGAGGGUGUGCAAAUCUCUUAAAGCCGGUCUCAGUUCGGACUGCAGUCUGCAACUCGACUGCACGAAGUCGGAAUCGCUAGUAAUCGCGGAUCAGCAUGCCGCGGUGAAUACGUUCCCGGGCCUUGUACACACCGCCCGUCACACCAUGGAAGUUUGCAAUGCCCAAAGUCAGUGGCCUAACCAUUUUGGAGGGAGCUGCCUAAGGCAGGGCAGAUGACUGGGGUGAAGUCGUAACAAGGUAACC